RNAcentral lists this ribosomal RNA (261 nucleotides) under uncultured archaeon. Its description in RNAcentral is "partial 16S ribosomal RNA". It matches the Rfam family "Archaeal small subunit ribosomal RNA", at positions 748 to 1008 of the family's 1478-position model. The record is from RNAcentral.
AGGGUGUAAACACUGCAGACUUGGUGUUGGAGGCCCUUUGGGGGCAUUCAGUGCCGGAGAGAAGUUGUUAAGUCUGCUACUUGGGGUGUACGUCCGCAAGGAUGAAACUUAAAGGAAUUGGCGGGGGAGCACCGCAACGGGAGGAGCGUGCGGUUUAAUUGGAUUCAACACCGUAAAACUCACCAGGGAAGACUGUUACAUGAAGGCCGAGAUGAAGACUCUGCUAGAUUUUCAGAGAGGAGGUGCAUGGCGUCAGUGACU